UAGACUGCAGAUGGAAUCAUCGU
RNAcentral lists this ribosomal RNA (23 nucleotides) under Heterorhabditis sp. CH5. RNAcentral's name for it is "partial 18S ribosomal RNA". Lineage: Eukaryota; Metazoa; Nematoda; Chromadorea; Rhabditida; Heterorhabditidae. The record is from RNAcentral.